GAGGGUAUAGCUCAGUGGUAGAGUGCAUGCUUAGCAUGCACAAGGUCCUGGGUUCAAUCCCCAGUGCCUCCA
Transfer RNA from Camelus ferus (Wild Bactrian camel), 72 nucleotides. It matches the Rfam family "tRNA". From Rfam's summary of the family: Transfer RNA (tRNA) molecules are approximately 80 nucleotides in length. Their secondary structure includes four short double-helical elements and three loops (D, anti-codon, and T loops). The record is from Rfam. Lineage: Eukaryota; Metazoa; Chordata; Mammalia; Artiodactyla; Camelidae.